RNAcentral lists this ribosomal RNA (1118 nucleotides) under uncultured bacterium. Its description in RNAcentral is "bacterial SSU rRNA". It matches the Rfam family "Bacterial small subunit ribosomal RNA", at positions 339 to 1501 of the family's 1533-position model. The record is from RNAcentral.
CUACGGAGGCAGCAGUAGGGAAUCCUCCGCAGAUGGACGAAAGUCUGACGGAGCAACGCCGCGUGAACGAUGAAGGCCUUCGGGUCGUAAAGUUCUGUUGUCAGGGAAGAACAAGUGCCGUUUGAAUAAGGCGGCACCUUGACGGUACCUGACCAGAAAGCCACGGCUAACUACGUGCCAGCAGCCGCGGUAAUACGUAGGUGGCAAGCGUUGUCCGGAAUUAUUGGGCGUAAAGCGCGCGCAGGCGGUCUUUUAAGUCUGAUGUGAAAGCCCAUGGCUCAACCAUGGAUGGUCAUUGGAAACUGGGAGACUUGAGUACAGAAGAGGAGAGUGGAAUUCCACGUGUAGCGGUGAAAUGCGUAGAUAUGUGGAGGAACACCAGUGGCGAAGGCGACUCUCUGGUCUGUAACUGACGCUGAGGCGCGAAAGCGUGGGGAGCAAACAGGAUUAGAUACCCUGGUAGUCCACGCCGUAAACGAUGAGUGCUAGGUGUUAGGGGUUUCGAUGCCCUUAGUGCCGAAGUUAACACAUUAAGCACUCCGCCUGGGGAGUACGGCCGCAAGGCUGAAACUCAAAAGGAAUUGACGGGGGGCCCGCACAAAGCGGUGGAGCAUGUGGUUUAAUUUGGAAGCAACGCGAAGAACCUUACCAGGUCUUGACAUCCCGAUGACCGCUCUGGAGACAGAGUUUUCCCCUUCGGGGGCAUUGGUGACAGGUGGUGCAUGGUUGUCGUCAGCUCGUGUCGUGAGAUGUUGGGUUAAGUCCCGCAACGAGCGCAACCCUUGACCUUAGUUGCCAGCAUUCAGUUGGGCACUCUAAGGUGACUGCCGGUGACAAACCGGAGGAAGGUGGGGAUGACGUCAAAUCAUCAUGCCCCUUAUGACCUGGGCUACACACGUGCUACAAUGGAUGGUACAAAGGGAAGCGAAGCCGCGAGGUGGAGCCAAUCCCAUAAAGCCAUUCUCAGUUCGGAUUGCAGGCUGCAACUCGCCUGCAUGAAGCCGGAAUCGCUAGUAAUCGCGGAUCAGCAUGCCGCGGUGAAUACGUUCCCGGGCCUUGUACACACCGCCCGUCACACCACGAGAGUUUGAUCCUGGCUCAGUCGUAACAAGGUAACC